This 24-nucleotide non-coding RNA is filed under the name Arabidopsis thaliana (thale cress). The record is from RNAcentral. Lineage: Eukaryota; Viridiplantae; Streptophyta; Magnoliopsida; Brassicales; Brassicaceae. RNAcentral also lists the same sequence under 1 other name.
UUGGGACUUAUUUACAAUGGCUGC